GGAGGGAUACCCAAGUGGCCAAAGGGGGCAGACUGUAAAUCUGUUGUCACUGACUUCGAUGGUUCGAAUCCAUCUCCCUCCACCA
This 85-nucleotide transfer RNA is filed under the name Clostridiaceae bacterium. Its description in RNAcentral is "tRNA-Tyr". It matches the Rfam family "tRNA". Rfam says of the family: Transfer RNA (tRNA) molecules are approximately 80 nucleotides in length. Their secondary structure includes four short double-helical elements and three loops (D, anti-codon, and T loops). The record is from RNAcentral. Lineage: Bacteria; Bacillati; Bacillota; Clostridia; Eubacteriales; Clostridiaceae. RNAcentral also lists the same sequence under 1 other name.